Schistosoma rodhaini is the source of this 46-nucleotide non-coding RNA. NCBI's taxonomy places the organism in Eukaryota, Metazoa, Platyhelminthes, Trematoda, Strigeidida, Schistosomatidae. The record is from Rfam.
GCACUGCUGAGGAGUCCCAUAAUAGAAUGAAACAGUUGUCCAGUGC